This 1120-nucleotide ribosomal RNA is filed under the name Syntrophales bacterium. RNAcentral describes it as "partial 23S ribosomal RNA". It matches the Rfam family "Bacterial large subunit ribosomal RNA", at positions 1815 to 2925 of the family's 2925-position model. RNAcentral also lists the same sequence under 1 other name. The record is from RNAcentral. Lineage: Bacteria; Pseudomonadati; Thermodesulfobacteriota; Syntrophia; Syntrophales.
AUAGGACUCUGCUAAAUCGCAAGAUGAUGUAUAGGGUCUGAUGCCUGCCCGGUGCUGGAAGGUUAAGGGGAUGCGUUAGCCUGUAUGGGCGAAGCGUUGAACCGAAGCCCCAGUAAACGGCGGCCGUAACUAUAACGGUCCUAAGGUAGCGAAAUUCCUUGUCGGGUAAGUUCCGACCUGCACGAAUGGCGUAACGAUUUGGGCGCUGUCUUGACGAGAAGCUCAGCGAAUUUGAUAAACCGGUGAAGAAGCCGGUUACCCGCAACUAGACGGAAAGACCCCGUGCACCUUUACUAUAGCUUGACAAUGAAUUUCGGGCUGGUUUGUGUAGGAUAGGUGGGAGGCUUUGAAGUGGGGACGCCAGUUUCCAUGGAGCCGACCUUGAAAUACCACCCUGAUUAUUCUGAAGUUCUAACCUGGGCCCGUUAUCCGGGCCGGGGACAUUGUCUGGUGGGUAGUUUGACUGGGGCGGUCGCCUCCCAAAGAGUAACGGAGGCGCGCGAAGGUUCCCUCAGGCUGAUUGGAAACCAGCCGCAGAGUGUAAAGGCAUAAGGGAGCUUGACUGCGAGACUUACAAGUCGAGCAGGUGCGAAAGCAGGUCUUAGUGAUCCGGUGGUUCCGAAUGGAAGGGCCAUCGCUCAACGGAUAAAAGGUACCCCGGGGAUAACAGGCUUAUCUCCCCCAAGAGUUCACAUCGACGGGGAGGUUUGGCACCUCGAUGUCGGCUCAUCGCAUCCUGGGGCUGGAGCAGGUCCCAAGGGUUUGGCUGUUCGCCAAUUAAAGCGGUACGCGAGCUGGGUUUAGAACGUCGUGAGACAGUUCGGUCCCUAUCCUCCGUGGGCGGAGGAGAUUUGAGAGAAGCUGUCCCUAGUACGAGAGGACCGGGAUGGACGAACCUCUGGUGCUCCUGUUGUCGUGCCAACGGCAUAGCAGGGUAGCUACGUUCGGAACGGAUAACCGCUGAAAGCAUCUAAGUGGGAAGCCGUUCUCAAGAUUAGAUCUCCCUUCCGCUUCGUGCGGACUGAAGGCCUCCUGAAGACUACAGGAUUGAUAGGCUGGGUGUGUAAGCGCAGCAAUGCGUUGAGCUAACCAGUACUAAUCGGCCGUGAGGCUUGACCCA